AACGAACGCUGGCGGCAGGCUUAACACAUGCAAGUCGAGCGCCCCGCAAGGGGAGCGGCAGACGGGUGAGUAACGCGUGGGAACGUGCCCUUCUCUACGGAACAACACGGAGAAAUCUGUGCUAAUACCGUAUACGCCCUUAGGGGGAAAGAUUUAUCGGAGAAGGAUCGGCCCGCGUCUGAUUAGGUAGUUGGUGUGGUAACGGCGCACCAAGCCGACGAUCAGUAGCUGGUCUGAGAGGAUGAUCAGCCACACUGGGACUGAGACACGGCCCAGACUCCUACGGGAGGCAGCAGUGGGGAAUAUUGGACAAUGGGCGCAAGCCUGAUCCAGCCAUGCCGCGUGAGUGAUGAAGGCCUUAGGGUUGUAAAGCUCUUUCACCCGGGACGAUAAUGACGGUACCGGGAGAAGAAGCCCCGGCUAACUUCGUG
This 431-nucleotide ribosomal RNA is filed under the name uncultured bacterium. RNAcentral's name for it is "bacterial SSU rRNA". It matches the Rfam family "Bacterial small subunit ribosomal RNA", at positions 29 to 507 of the family's 1533-position model. The record is from RNAcentral.